GCGUGAACACACCGCUUGCCCGGUGCUUGCCCUGUCUUGGCCGCCGGUAGCCCCGCUCCCGAGACACCCAGCCUCUACACUCCCAGUCAUUUCUCUCCGCAGUAAAGAGUGACAGGGUAGACGGAGAGGGGAUGCCAUUAAAGGGCCCACGGUGUUUGGGCCUUGCCUCUCCAGCUCAAGAAAAGGGACACGAGAGCAACUUGGAAGCUGUCUAGUGACCUGUGGGCGCGGGGAAGGAAGCAAAACCCAGCAGGGGCCGCUGAGGAGUGAGAUGGACCCAAACUAAGACACGAGGAUGGUCCAAGAAGGGACGAUGCCGAGGGAUGCUGCAGUGCGGGGGUGAGCCCACGCCCACCAGUGCUGACAGCAGAACCCGAACUAAGGCCUGCUCAGUGUAUUCUCUUCCGUUGAGCUGCACUCCCACCUAACUACGGUUUCCGUGCGCAUCACAGCUAGCUAGCGUUUGCUUGUGACUGCUGGUUUUAGGAAGCCCUGGGAAAACCCGGCAACAGUGGAGUCCACACUGUCUUCUGCAGAACCACGGGAAGUGCAGUUGCCGCUUUCAAUAUGUGCAUGGAUGUGGGGUCAUCGGUAUCCUACCAUGGGCCACAUCCCUGAAGAAAACUGACUCCAAACUGCCGGGCCAAGCUGAACGGUGCUGUCUCCACAAAGGAAAGGGUCUCUGGUGUGCUGGAACUUCCCAGGUGAGAGUGGCUGACCAUGGAGCCCAGAAGGCCUCCUGUCUCCCAGAACCUCAAGACAAGAAAUUCAGUCGGUGCUGCAUGUUUUUGUUUGAUUCUGGGGUGUGUGUGUGUGUGUGUGUGUGUGUGUGUGUGUGUGUGUGUGUGCAUGUUCAUGUGUGUGCAUGUUAGCGUAGGCCAGAGGCUUCCUUGACUCUGAAGAUACAGCUCAGCCCUUACUUUUAUAUUUUUGGGGAUAGAGUCUCAACAUUUACGCCAGUCUCACCUUAAACUCCCCAUUCUUCUCCCUCAGCCUUUGUGCUCUACUGAAUCAGGUCCAAAUUUCUGCUUUAAAAAUGGUUCUUUGUUGUUGUUGUUUUUAAUCAUGUGCAUGUUUAAUAAAUGUGUUUGCAGGUCCUCUUGGAGGCCAGAGGUGGUGGUUGUGAGCCACCUGAGUGGGUGCUGAAAGUUGAAAUGAGGUCCUCUGCAAGAGCAGUACAUGCUUUUAACCAAGCCCGAUCUCCAGCCCCUGAACUUCUGCUUUUCAUACCUAUUUUGUGAGAAUUUGUUGUAACUUUGGGAGACUGAAGCCUCGGGGCUGACUGGACGAUUCAGCAGGCAGAGCACCUAAGGACCUGGAUCCCUGGAGCUCCAUAAAGGUGGAAGGAGAAACCCCAUUUCAUAAAGUUGUCCUCUGACCUCCACACUGUGCCGAGAACUCCAGCACACACAUCACACUAACAAUAAGAAGCAACUAAACCCUUGUUUAAUCCCGCAAGUCUGCAUUCACGAGACACCCCAAACCACCAGGCCACUAGAUGUGCCCCUCAGGACCUGUUUCCUGACGAAACUCACAAAGCCCCUAGGGUGAGAGGCUGUCCUGGGGCCGGAGCAACGGCCCACCUCACCCUGGGGACGGGGAGACAGGCCCUGGGCUGCUGUCCCUCCGCGGCACCCUCCAUGACGUGGGAGGCCGAGGGACAGACGCACAUGCUCUGCUCUGAGUCAUGAGGUUAUUUGGUCACUCAACAAACACUCAGGGGUCAGUUCUAGGCCAAGCACCAGUGAGCCCGUAAAUGCGUGGUUUAUUAGAUGGCAUGGUUAGUGACAUCAUAGACAUGUGGUUGGUGACAUCAUAGACACGCGGCUGGUGACAUCAUAGACGCGUGGUUGGUGACGUCAUAGACACGCGGUGGUGACAUCAGGCAUGCGGCUGAUGACAUCAUAGACACGCGGCUGGUGACAUCAUAGACGCGUGGCUGGUGACAUCAUAGGCACACGGCUGGUGACAUCAAGGGAAACCCAGUUUGCUCCAGGAGGGGGAGGGCCUUUCUGGACUCUCCUGAGUGCCUCUCUCUGCCCCUCGGGCCAAAGAAGCAGGUGUUUGCUAGGUGACGGUGGCGCACGCCUUUGGGAGAGCAGGUGGAUCUCUGAGUUUGAGGCAAGCCUGGUCUACAGAGCGAGUUCCAGGACAGUUAGAGCUGUUAUUCAGAGAAACCCUGUCUCCAAAACAAACCAAAAAAACAAAAACACAAAAACAAAAAACCCAAAACCAACCAAAAAAAAAAAAAAGAAAGAAAGAAAGAAAGAAAAAAGCAGCAGCAGCAUGUAUUUGGCUGAGCAACUACAGAGUGUGAGAACUCAGAGAAAGUGGACUCCAGUCCCCUGGAGCAAGCAUGAGCUUGGCAGGCAGUGAACACAGGUAUGGGCCUGUUUGAGAUGAGUGCAUGAGCUUGAAAGCCUACAUUUCCCCACUGGGUGUGUGUACGUGUGUGUGUGUGUGUGUGUGUGUGUGUGUGUGUGUGUGUGUGUGCGUGUGACGGCCAGAGGUCAACCUCAGGAGUCCUUCCUCAGCAACUGUUCACCUUGGUUCUCGAGUCAAGGUCUUUCAAGGACCAGCGGCUUGCUGAUCUGGCUAACCUGGCUGGCCAGUCAGCUGUAGGGAGCCUCUUGUCUCUGCCUUCCUGGUGCUGGGAUUCCAAGUGUGUGCCACGAUCCACAAAAGCCUACUACAUUAAACAUUUUUUGCUUAUAAUUUACAUAUUUAAAAAUAAAUUUUAACUUAUUCUG
Molecule: non-coding RNA, 2750 nt
Organism: Peromyscus maniculatus bairdii (prairie deer mouse)
Lineage: Eukaryota; Metazoa; Chordata; Mammalia; Rodentia; Cricetidae
Source: RefSeq, a predicted model, not a curated record